Molecule: small nuclear RNA, 23 nt
Filed under: Arabidopsis thaliana (thale cress)
Lineage: Eukaryota; Viridiplantae; Streptophyta; Magnoliopsida; Brassicales; Brassicaceae
Description: snRNA_13035
Source: RNAcentral
CUAACAAGGAUACACUACUUAGG